Molecule: ribosomal RNA, 439 nt
Filed under: uncultured bacterium
Lineage: Bacteria
Description: bacterial SSU rRNA
Rfam family: Bacterial small subunit ribosomal RNA
Source: RNAcentral
CCUACGGGGGGCAGCAGUGGGGAAUAUUGCACAAUGGGGGAAACCCUGAUGCAGCAACGCCGCGUGAGCGAAGAAGGCCUUAGGGUUGUAAAGCUCUUUUACCAGGGAUGAUAAUGACAGUACCUGGAGAAUAAGCUCCGGCUAACUCCGUGCCAGCAGCCGCGGUAAUACGUAGGGGGCUAGCGUUAUCCGGAAUUACUGGGCGUAAAGGGUGCGUAGGCGGCCCUUCAAGUCAGAGGUGAAAGGCUACGGCUCAACCGUAGUAAGCCUUUGAAACUGUAGGGCUUGAGUGCAGGAGAGGAGAGUGGAAUUCCCAGUGUAGCGGUGAAAUGCGUAGAUAUUGGGAGGAACACCAGUUGCGAAGGCGGCUCUCUGGACUGUAACUGACGCUGAGGCACGAAAGCGUGGGGAGCGAACAGGAUUAGAUACCCUUGUAGUC